AGGACGAACGCUGGCGGCGUGCUUAACACAUGCAAGUCGAGCGGUAAGGCCCUUCGGGGUACACGAGCGGCGAACGGGUGAGUAACACGUGAGCAAUCUGCCCAUCACAUCGGGAUAACUUCGGGAAACCGAAGCUAAUACCGAAUACGACCACCUCAGGCAUCUGAUGGUGGUGGAAAGUUCCGGCGGUGAUGGAUGAGCUCGCGGCCUAUCAGCUAGUUGGUGAGGUAACGGCCCACCAAGGCUUCGACGGGUAGCCGGCCUGAGAGGGUGACCGGCCACACUGGGACUGAGACACGGCCCAGACUCCUACGGGAGGCAGCAGUGGGGAAUAUUGGACAAUGGGCGAAAGCCUGAUCCAGCAACGCCGCGUGAGGGAUGACGGCCUUCGGGUUGUAAACCUCUUCAGCAGGGACGAAGCGCAAGUGACGGUACCUGCAGAGAAGCACCGGCCAACUACGUGCCAGCAGCCGC
This 474-nucleotide ribosomal RNA is filed under the name uncultured bacterium. Its description in RNAcentral is "SSU rRNA". It matches the Rfam family "Bacterial small subunit ribosomal RNA", at positions 26 to 518 of the family's 1533-position model. The record is from RNAcentral.